RNAcentral lists this transfer RNA (77 nucleotides) under Pseudoalteromonas sp. S185. RNAcentral's name for it is "tRNA-Arg". It matches the Rfam family "tRNA". From Rfam's summary of the family: Transfer RNA (tRNA) molecules are approximately 80 nucleotides in length. Their secondary structure includes four short double-helical elements and three loops (D, anti-codon, and T loops). Further hydrogen bonds mediate the characteristic L-shaped molecular structure. tRNAs have two regions of fundamental functional importance: the anti-codon, which is responsible for specific mRNA codon recognition, and the 3' end, to which the tRNAs corresponding amino acid is attached (by aminoacyl-tRNA synthetases). tRNAs cope with the degeneracy of the genetic code in two manners: having more than one tRNA (with a specific anti-codon) for a particular amino acid; and 'wobble' base-pairing, i.e. permitting non-standard base-pairing at the 3rd anti-codon position. Lineage: Bacteria; Pseudomonadati; Pseudomonadota; Gammaproteobacteria; Alteromonadales; Pseudoalteromonadaceae. The record is from RNAcentral.
GUGCGCAUAGCUCAGCUGGAUAGAGUACCUGGCUACGAACCAGGCGGUCGGAGGUUCGAAUCCUCCUGCGCCCACCA